GAUUCUGGCUCAGGAUAAACGCUGGCGGCGUGCUUAACACAUGCAAGUCGAACGGAGUGGUCCUCCCGAAGCGUGACGAAGCUUGCUUCUGAACAAUUCAUUGGAUCACUUAGUGGCGGACGGGUGAGUAACGCGUGGGUAACCUGCCCUAUACUGGGGGAUAGCAGUUGGAAACGACUGAUAAUACCGCAUAAGCAUACACUUUCGCAUGAAAGAGUGUGAAAAACUCCGGUGGUAUAGGAUGGACCCGCGUCUGAUUAGCUAGUUGGUGAGGUAACGGCCCACCAAGGCGACGAUCAGUAGCCGGCCUGAGAGGGUGUACGGCCGCAUUGGGACUGAGACACGGCCCAAACUCCUACGGGAGGCAGCAGUGGGGAAUAUUGGACAAUGGGGGAAACCCUGAUCCAAGCGACGCCGCGUGAGCGAAGAAGUAUUUCGGUAUGUAAAGCUCUAUCAGCAGGGAAGAAAAUGACGGUACCUGACUAAGAAGCACCGGCUAAAUACGUGCCAGCCGCAGC
This 518-nucleotide ribosomal RNA is filed under the name uncultured bacterium. RNAcentral's name for it is "bacterial SSU rRNA". It matches the Rfam family "Bacterial small subunit ribosomal RNA", at positions 15 to 518 of the family's 1533-position model. The record is from RNAcentral.